UACACUUAUCUAAUAAAGUAAAUACCAUCUUAUAUUAUUAGAAUAAUUGUGUCGGAUCGCUGGCGUUAACCAUUAAUUCCAAAAGCUCGAAAUGUUAGAAAUACGCAAUCAAUUCACUUAAAGCGUACAGAUCAAUGCCCACGGGUAUUGAUUGUGACUCGGCCCAACCAUCCUCAUGCCGCUUCGAACAUGACUCAGUCCACUCAGCCUCAUGCAAUUUCGAAUAUGACUCGACCCAACAUGAGCUUCCUCCACAGGGUAGGAUGCUGGCCUAUUUAUGCCAACGAUGGCCUAUUUAUGCCAACGAUCCCCUUUCCAGCACCUAUACAUAUUUGCAGUAUACGGGAAUCGAACCCGUGACAUCUAGCUCUGAUAUUACUAGUCGGAUCGUUGGCGCUAAUCAUUAAUCUCAAAAGCUCGAGCUGUAAGAAAUACGCAACCGAUUCACUUAAAGUGUACAGAUACGGUGUCCACGGGUCUCGAUUGUGACUCGGUUCAACCAGCCUCACGUCACUUCGAAUAUAACUCGGCCCACCCAACCUCACGCCAUUUCGAACAUGGCUCGGCCCAACAUGGUCUCCCGCCACAGGGUAGAAUGCUGGCCGAUUUAAGCCAACAAAUUGCACCAAUGGUCCGUAACCUUUAUUCUUUAUCCUAAUUUGUCCUUUCUAUUUUUAUUA
This 680-nucleotide long non-coding RNA is filed under the name Ananas comosus (pineapple). RNAcentral describes it as "long non-coding RNA (ACOM_LNC038646)". The record is from RNAcentral. Lineage: Eukaryota; Viridiplantae; Streptophyta; Magnoliopsida; Poales; Bromeliaceae.